UACCGGAUGAUGUCGCAAGACCAAAGAUUUAUCGCCCAGGGAUGAGCCCGCGUCGGAUUAGGUAGUUGGUGGGGUAAAGGCCUACCAAGCCGACGAUCCGUAGCUGGUCUGAGAGGAUGAUCAGCCACACUGGGACUGAGACACGGCCCAGACUCCUACGGGAGGCAGCAGUGGGGAAUAUUGGACAAUGGGCGAAAGCCUGAUCCAGCAAUGCCGCGUGAGUGAUGAAGGCCUUAGGGUUGUAAAGCUCUUUUACCCGGGAUGAUAAUGACAGUACCGGGAGAAUAAGCUCCGGCUAACUCCGUGCCAGCAGCCGCGGUAAUACGGAGGGAGCUAGCGUUGUUCGGAAUUACUGGGCGUAAAGCGCACGUAGGCGGCUUUGUAAGUCAGGGGUGAAAGCCUGGAGCUCAACUCCAGAACUGCCUUUGAGACUGCAUCGCUUGAAUCCGGGAGAGGUGAGUGGAAUUCCGAGUGU
This 475-nucleotide ribosomal RNA is filed under the name Sphingomonas ginsenosidimutans. RNAcentral describes it as "bacterial SSU rRNA". It matches the Rfam family "Bacterial small subunit ribosomal RNA", at positions 167 to 676 of the family's 1533-position model. Lineage: Bacteria; Pseudomonadati; Pseudomonadota; Alphaproteobacteria; Sphingomonadales; Sphingomonadaceae. The record is from RNAcentral.